Molecule: ribosomal RNA, 253 nt
Filed under: uncultured bacterium
Lineage: Bacteria
Description: partial 16S ribosomal RNA
Rfam family: Bacterial small subunit ribosomal RNA
Source: RNAcentral
UACGUAGGGGGCAAGCGUUGUCCGGAAUCAUUGGGCGUAAAGAGCGUGUAGGCGGCCUGGUAAGUCCGCUGUGAAAGUCCAGGGCUCAACCCUGGAAUGCCGGUGGAAACUGUCAGGCUCGAGUCCGGAAGAGGCGAGUGGAAUUCCUGGUGUAGCGGUGAAAUGCGCAGAUAUCAGGAGGAACACCGGUGGCGAAGGCGGCUUCCUGGACCGACACUGACGCUGAGGCGCGAAAGCUAGGGGAGCAAACGGG